This 238-nucleotide ribosomal RNA is filed under the name uncultured bacterium. RNAcentral's name for it is "partial 16S ribosomal RNA". It matches the Rfam family "Bacterial small subunit ribosomal RNA", at positions 96 to 334 of the family's 1533-position model. The record is from RNAcentral.
CGGCGGACGGGUGAGUAACGCGUGGGUGACCUGCCCCAUACCGGGGGAUAACAGCUGGAAACGGCUGCUAAUACCGCAUAAGCGCACAGAGCCGCAUGGCUCGGUGUGAAAAACUCCGGUGGUAUGGGAUGGGCCCGCGUCUGAUUAGGCAGUUGGCGGGGUAACGGCCCACCAAACCGACGAUCAGUAGCCGGCCUGAGAGGGCGACCGGCCACAUUGGGACUGAGACACGGCCCAA